CCUGGGUCUAGUAUUGUGAGAAAGAGAGAAAAAUUUAUGGACUCUGGUCUGGUCCAGCAGGCUAGUUCUUAUGAAACCCACAUACAGAUACAUAUGGGGGGAGAUGAUUUUAAUGGUUUUUAAAUGUGACUGUAUCGUGUAUAUUUUAAAUUGUGAGCUGCCUCUGGUGCACGGUCACUGUACGGGCAAGAAAGGCAGGAUAUAAUUUUUGUAAACAAAACAAUAAAUACAGAAAUGUGGAAAGAG
Molecule: long non-coding RNA, 246 nt
Organism: Sphaerodactylus townsendi
Lineage: Eukaryota; Metazoa; Chordata; Lepidosauria; Squamata; Sphaerodactylidae
Exons: 3
Source: RefSeq, a predicted model, not a curated record